GUAGGUGGCAAGCGUUGUCCGGAAAUUAUUGGGCGUAAAGCGCGCGCAGGGCGGUCCUUUAAGUCUGAUGUGAAAGCCCACGGCUCAACCGUGGAGGGUCAUUGGAAACUGGGGGACUUGAGUACAGAAGAGGAAAGCGGAAUUCCAAGUGUAGCGGUGAAAUGCGUAGAGAUUUGGAGGAACACCAGUGGCGAAGGCGGCUUUCUGGUCUGUAACUGACGCUGAGGCGCGAAAGCGUGGGGAGCAAACAGGAUUAGAUACCCUGGUAGUCCACGCCGUAAACGAUGAGUGCUAAGGUUGUUACGGGGGUUUCCGCCCCUUAGUGCUGCAGCUAACGCAUUAAGCACUCCGCCUGGGGAGUACGGCCGCAAGGCUG
RNAcentral lists this ribosomal RNA (376 nucleotides) under uncultured organism. RNAcentral's name for it is "partial 16S ribosomal RNA". It matches the Rfam family "Bacterial small subunit ribosomal RNA", at positions 527 to 896 of the family's 1533-position model. The record is from RNAcentral.